GACGAACGCUGGCGGCGUGCUUAACACAUGCAAGUCGAACGAAGUGGCGAACGGGUGAGUAACGCGUAAUCAACCUGCCCUUCAGAGGGGGACAACAGUUGGAAACGACUGCUAAUACCGCAUACUGAAGGAGGGGAUUGCGUUUGAUUAGCUAGUUGGGGGGGUAACGGCCCACCAAGGCGAUGAUCAGUAGCCGGUUUGAGAGGAUGAACGGCCAAAUGUGGACUGAGACACGGCCCAGACCCCUUAGGGAGGGAGCAGUGGGGAAUCUUCCGCAAUGGAGGAAAGGCUGACGGAGCAACGCCGCGGGGGUGAUGACGGCCUUGGGGUUGUAAAGCUCUGUUAAUCGGGACGCGGUACCGGAAUAGAAAGCAACGGCUAACUACGUGCCAGCAGCCGCGGUAAUUC
Molecule: ribosomal RNA, 408 nt
Filed under: uncultured bacterium
Lineage: Bacteria
Description: partial 16S ribosomal RNA
Rfam family: Bacterial small subunit ribosomal RNA
Source: RNAcentral